Molecule: ribosomal RNA, 731 nt
Filed under: uncultured Glomeromycotina
Lineage: Eukaryota; Fungi; Glomeromycota
Description: SSU rRNA
Rfam family: Eukaryotic small subunit ribosomal RNA
Source: RNAcentral
GGGGUGUUAGGGCACGACACCGGAGAGGGAGCCUGAGAAACGGCUACCACAUCCAAGGAUGGCAGCAGGCGCGCAAAUUACCCAAUCCCGACACGGGGAGGUAGUGACAAUAAAUAACAAUACGGGGUUCUUUAGGAUUUCGUAAUUGGAAUGAGUACAAUUUAAAUCUCUUAACGAGGAACAAUUGGAGGGCAAGUCUGGUGCCAGCAGCCGCGGUAAUUCCAGCUCCAAUAGCGUAUAUUAAAGUUGCUGCAGUUAAAAAGCUCGUAGUUGAAUUUCGGGACCAAUAUGUCGGUCGUGCCUCGGUACGUACUGGCAUCGUUGGUUUCUCCCUUCUGACGAACCAUGAUGUCAUUUAUUUGGUGUCGUGGGGAAUCAGGACUGUUACUUUGAAAAAAUUAGAGUGUUUAAAGCAGGCUCACGCUUGAAUACAUUAGCAUGGAAUAAUGAAAUAGGACGUUCGAUCCUAUUUUGUUGGUUUCUAGGAUUGACGUAAUGAUUAAUAGGGAUAGUUGGGGGCAUUAGUAUUCAAUUGUCAGAGGUGAAAUUCUUGGAUUUAUUGAAGACUAACUACUGCGAAAGCAUUUGCCAAGGAUGUUUUCAUUAAUCAAGAACGAAAGUUAGGGGAUCGAAGACGAUCAGAUACCGUCGUAGUCUUAACCAUAAACUAUGCCGACUAGGGAUCGGAUGAUGUUAAUUUUUUAAUGACUCAUUCGGCGCCUUACGGGAAA